RNAcentral lists this ribosomal RNA (309 nucleotides) under Triticum aestivum (bread wheat). RNAcentral describes it as "partial small subunit ribosomal RNA". The record is from RNAcentral. Lineage: Eukaryota; Viridiplantae; Streptophyta; Magnoliopsida; Poales; Poaceae.
AUGUGUGUACCCAAGAAUCAAGGAGGAAUGGGCUUUCAGGAUAUCCAUUGUUUCAAUUUGGCUAUGCUCGCUAAACAGGCCUGGCGUCUCAUUGAGAAUCGAGAUUCUCUAUGUGCUACCAUUUUGACUGUCAAAUACUAUCCUGACGGUGACUUGUUGAACACUAAACUAAAGAAGGGCUCUUCCUUCACCUAGCAAAGUAUUAUGAAAGGUGUGAGUACCCUGAAACGGGGUCACAUUUGGCUAGUGGGGAAUUGUCAGAAUGCCUGGAUUACAAGUUGUGCAAACUGUAAAAUUAUUACUUUCUAA